This 468-nucleotide ribosomal RNA is filed under the name uncultured bacterium. RNAcentral's name for it is "partial 16S ribosomal RNA". It matches the Rfam family "Bacterial small subunit ribosomal RNA", at positions 35 to 507 of the family's 1533-position model. The record is from RNAcentral.
GGGGGGGGGGGGGGGGGGGGUGGGGGGGGGCGGGGCGGGCGGGGGGGCCCGGCUGUUGGGGGGGGGUCGGGGGGGGGCCGGGUGAGUGACACGUGGGUAACCUGCCCUUGGCUUUGGGGUAGCUUCCGGAAACUGGGGCUAAUACCGGAUAGGCGCGCCUGCUGCGUGGUGGGGGUUGGAAAGUGUCGGCGGUUGGGGAUGGUCUCGCGGCUUCUCAGCUUGUUGGUGGGGUAGUGGCUUCCCAAGGCUUUGACGGGUAGCCGGCCUGAGAGGGUGGCCGGCCACAUUGGGACUGAGAUACGGACCAGACUCCUACGGGCGGCAGCAGUGGGGAAGAUUGCACAAUGGGCGGAAGCCUGAUGCAGCAACGCCGCGUGCGUGAUGACGGCCUUCGGGUUGAAAACCGCUUUCGCCUGUGACGAAGCGUGAGUGACGGUAAUGAGUAAAGAAGCACCGGCUAACUACGUG